GGCGGCGUGCUUAACACAUGCCAGUCGAACGGACAGGCCCUGCUUUUGUGGGGUGCUCGAGUGGCGAACGGGUGAGUAACACGUGAGUAACCUGCCCUUGACUUUGGGAUAACUUCAGGAAACUGGGGCUAAUACCGGAUAGGAGCUCCUGCUGCAUGGUGGGGGUUGGAAAGUUUCGGCGGUUGGGGAUGGACUCGCGGCUUAUCAGCUUGUUGGUGGGGUAGUGGCUUACCAAGGCUUUGACGGGUAGCCGGCCUGAGAGGGUGACCGGCCACAUUGGGACUGAGAUACGGCCCAGACUCCUACGGGAGGCAGCAGUGGGGAAUAUUGCACAAUGGGCGGAAGCCUGAUGCAGCAACGCCGCGUGCGGGAUGACGGCCUUCGGGUUGUAAACCGCUUUCGCCUGUGACGAAGCGUGAGUGACGGUAAUGGGUAAAGAAGCACCGGCUAACUACGUG
This 458-nucleotide ribosomal RNA is filed under the name uncultured bacterium. RNAcentral's name for it is "partial 16S ribosomal RNA". It matches the Rfam family "Bacterial small subunit ribosomal RNA", at positions 38 to 507 of the family's 1533-position model. The record is from RNAcentral.